GACAGAGGGUGCAAACGUUGUUCGGAAUUACUGGGCGUAAAGCGCGUGUAGGCGGCUAAGUAAGUCGGGCGUGAAAUCCCACGGCUCAGCCGUGGAAGUGCACUCGAAACUGCAUAGCUAGAGUCCUGGAGAGGAAGGUGGAAUGCUUGGUGUAGAGGUGAAAUUCGUAGAUAUCAAGCGGAACACCGGCGGCGAAGGCGGCCUUCUGGACAGUGACUGACGCUGAGACGCGAAAGCGUGGGGAGCAAACAGG
Molecule: ribosomal RNA, 253 nt
Filed under: uncultured bacterium
Lineage: Bacteria
Description: partial 16S ribosomal RNA
Rfam family: Bacterial small subunit ribosomal RNA
Source: RNAcentral